This 1372-nucleotide ribosomal RNA is filed under the name uncultured bacterium. RNAcentral's name for it is "bacterial SSU rRNA". It matches the Rfam family "Bacterial small subunit ribosomal RNA", at positions 28 to 1381 of the family's 1533-position model. The record is from RNAcentral.
GAUGAACGCUGGCGGCGUGCCUAAUACAUGCAAGUCGAGCGAACGGACGAGAAGCUUGCUUCUCUGAUGUUAGCGGCGGACGGGUGAGUAACACGUGGAUAACCUACCUAUAAGACUGGGAUAACUUCGGGAAACCGGAGCUAAUACCGGAUAAUAUUUUGAACCGCAUGGUUCAAAAGUGAAAGACGGUCUUGCUGUCACUUAUGGAUGGAUCCGCGCUGCAUUAGCUAGUUGGUAAGGUAACGGCUUACCAAGGCAACGAUGCAUAGCCGACCUGAGAGGGUGAUCGGCCACACUGGAACUGAGACACGGUCCAGACUCCUACGGGAGGCAGCAGUAGGGAAUCUUCCGCAAUGGGCGAAAGCCUGACGGAGCAACGCCGCGUGAGUGAUGAAGGUCUUCGGAUCGUAAAACUCUGUUAUUAGGGAAGAACAUAUGUGUAAGUAACUGUGCACAUCUUGACGGUACCUAAUCAGAAAGCCACGGCUAACUACGUGCCAGCAGCCGCGGUAAUACGUAGGUGGCAAGCGUUAUCCGGAAUUAUUGGGCGUAAAGCGCGCGUAGGCGGUUUUUUAAGUCUGAUGUGAAAGCCCACGGCUCAACCGUGGAGGGUCAUUGGAAACUGGAAAACUUGAGUGCAGAAGAGGAAAGUGGAAUUCCAUGUGUAGCGGUGAAAUGCGCAGAGAUAUGGAGGAACACCAGUGGCGAAGGCGACUUUCUGGUCUGUAACUGACGCUGAUGUGCGAAAGCGUGGGGAUCAAACAGGAUUAGAUACCCUGGUAGUCCACGCCGUAAACGAUGAGUGCUAAGUGUUAGGGGGUUUCCGCCCCUUAGUGCUGCAGCUAACGCAUUAAGCACUCCGCCUGGGGAGUACGACCGCAAGGUUGAAACUCAAAGGAAUUGACGGGGACCCGCACAAGCGGUGGAGCAUGUGGUUUAAUUCGAAGCAACGCGAAGAACCUUACCAAAUCUUGACAUCCUUUGACAACUCUAGAGAUAGAGCCUUCCCCUUCGGGGGACAAAGUGACAGGUGGUGCAUGGUUGUCGUCAGCUCGUGUCGUGAGAUGUUGGGUUAAGUCCCGCAACGAGCGCAACCCUUAAGCUUAGUUGCCAUCAUUAAGUUGGGCACUCUAAGUUGACUGCCGGUGACAAACCGGAGGAAGGUGGGGAUGACGUCGAAUCAUCAUGCCCCUUAUGAUUUGGGCUACACACGUGCUACAAUGGACAAUACAAAGGGCAGCGAAACCGCGAGGUCAAGCAAAUCCCAUAAAGUUGUUCUCAGUUCGGAUUGUAGUCUGCAACUCGACUACAUGAAGCUGGAAUCGCUAGUAAUCGUAGAUCAGCAUGCUACGGUGAAUACGUUCCCGGGUCU